RNAcentral lists this microRNA precursor (205 nucleotides) under Oryza glumipatula. RNAcentral describes it as "MIR812 microRNA precursor family". It matches the Rfam family "MIR812 microRNA precursor family". Lineage: Eukaryota; Viridiplantae; Streptophyta; Magnoliopsida; Poales; Poaceae. The record is from Rfam by way of RNAcentral.
AAAAAAACAAACUCUGGGUUUCCAUGUCCAACUUUGACUGUCCGUCUUAUAUGAAAAUUUUUUAUAAUUUGUAUUUUCAUUGUUGUUAGAUGAUAAAACAUAAUUAAUAUUUUAUACGUGACUUGUCUUUUUAAUUUUUUUCAUAAUAUUUUCAAAUAAGACGGACGAUCGAACGUUGGACACGGAAACCAGGGUUUGUCUUUUU